This 492-nucleotide ribosomal RNA is filed under the name uncultured bacterium. Its description in RNAcentral is "partial 16S ribosomal RNA". It matches the Rfam family "Bacterial small subunit ribosomal RNA", at positions 29 to 507 of the family's 1533-position model. The record is from RNAcentral.
AGUGAACGCUGGCGGUAGGCCUAACACAUGCAAGUCGAACGGCAGCACAGUAAGAGCUUGCUCUUACGGGUGGCGAGUGGCGGACGGGUGAGGAAUACAUCGGAAUCUACUUUUUCGUGAGGGAUAACGUAGGGAAACUUACGCUAAUACCGCAUACGACCUACGGGUGAAAGCAGGGGAUCUUCGGACCUUGCGCGAUUGAAUGAGCCGAUGUCGGAUUAGCUAGUUGGCGGGGUAAAGGCCCACCAAGGCGACGAUCCGUAGCUGGUCUGAGAGGAUGAUCAGCCACACUGGAACUGAGACACGAUCCAGACUCCUACGGGAGGCAGCAGUGGGGAAUAUUGGACAAUGGGCGCAAGCCUGAUCCAGCCAUACCGCGUGGGUGAAGAAGGCCUUCGGGUUGUAGAGCCCUUUUGUUGGGAAAGAAAAGCAGCAGGUUAAUACCCCGCUGUUCUGACGGUACCCAAAGAAUAAGCACCGGCUAACUUCGUG